CAUGUCCUCUUGAUAUUUAUUAGAGGUCUAAUCUGCUCAAUGAAAUGUUAAAUUGCCGCGGUAUUUUGACCGUGCAAAGGUAGCAUAAUAAUUAGUUUUUUUAUUGGGAACUUGGAUGAAUGAUUGGACGAGGGAUUUACUGUCUCUAUUUAAUUUUUUUUUGAAUUUAACUUUUUAGUUAGAAGGCUUAAAUUUUUUUAAAAGACGAGAAGACCCUAUAGAGUUUUACUUUUUGCUUUGUUGAUUUUUUUUUGGUAUUUAUUUAAUCAAUAAUUAUUAAGUUUGGUUGGGGUGACUGGAAAAUUUAUAAAACUUUUCUAAUUUUUAGUUAUUGAUUUAUAAAUAACAAUUCUAAUUUUUUUAGUAAUAAAAUAAAUUACCUUAGGGAUAACAGCGUUAUUUUUCUUUAGAGUUCUUAUUGAAGGAGAAUUUUGCGACCUCGAUGUUGGAUUAAAAUAAAUAUUGGGUGCAGUAGCUUAAUUAUUAAGUCUGUUCGACUUUUAAAAUUUUACAUGAUCUGAGU
RNAcentral lists this ribosomal RNA (523 nucleotides) under Adelocera sp. UPOL RK0041. Its description in RNAcentral is "partial 16S ribosomal RNA". It matches the Rfam family "Archaeal large subunit ribosomal RNA", at positions 1919 to 2679 of the family's 2987-position model. Lineage: Eukaryota; Metazoa; Arthropoda; Insecta; Coleoptera; Elateridae. The record is from RNAcentral.